AGAGUUUGAUCAUGGCUCAGGACGAACGCUGGCGGCACGCUUAACACAUGCAAGUCGAACGAGAGAAGAGGAGCUUGCUUUUCUGAUCUAGUGGCGGACGGGUGAGUAGCACGUGAGCAAUCUGCCUUUCAGAGGGGGAUACCGAUUGGAAACGAUCGUUAAUACCGCAUAACAUAAUUGAACCGCAUGAUUUGAUUAUCAAAGAUUUAUCGCUGAAAGAUGAGCUCGCGUCUGAUUAGCUAGUUGGUAAGGUAACGGCUUACCAAGGCGACGAUCAGUAGCCGGACUGAGAGGUUGAUCGGCCACAUUGGGACUGAGACACGGCCCAGACUCCUACGGGAGGCAGCAGUGGGGAAUAUUGCACAAUGGAGGAAACUCUGAUGCAGCGAUGCCGCGUGAGGGAAGAAGGUUUUAGGAUUGUAAACCUCUGUCUUCAGGGACGAAAAAAGACGGUACCUGAGGAGGAAGCUCCGGCUAACUACGUGCCAGCAGCCGCGGUAAUACGUAGGGAGCGAGCGUUGUCCGGAAUUACUGGGUGUAAAGGGAGCGUAGGCGGGAUCGCAAGUCAGAUGUGAAAACUAUGGGCUUAACCCAUAAACUGCAUUUGAAACUGUGGUUCUUGAGUGAAGUAGAGGUAAGCGGAAUUCCUAGUGUAGCGGUGAAAUGCGUAGAUAUUAGGAGGAACAUCAGUGGCGAAGGCGGCUUACUGGGCUUUAACUGACGCUGAGGCUCGAAAGCGUGGGGAGCAAACAGGAUUAGAUACCCUGGUAGUCCACGCCGUAAACGAUGAUUACUAGGUGUGGGGGGACUGACCCCUUCCGUGCCGCAGCAAACGCAAUAAGUAAUCCACCUGGGAAGUACGACCGCAAGGUUGAAACUCAAAGGAAUUGACGGGGGCCCGCACAAGCAGUGGAGUAUGUGGAUUAAUUCGAAGCAACGCGAAGAACCUUACCAGGUCUUGACAUCGUAUGCAUAGCUCAGAGAUGAGUGAAAUCUCUUCGGAGACAUAUAGACAGGUGGUGCAUGGUUGUCGUCAGCUCGUGUCGUGAGAUGUUGGGUUAAGUCCCGCAACGAGCGCAACCCUUACUGUUAGUUGCUACGCAAGAGCACUCUAGCAGGACUGCCGUUGACAAAACGGAGGAAGGUGGGGAUGACGUCAAAUCAUCAUGCCCCUUAUGACCUGGGCCUCACACGUACUACAAUGGCUGUCAACAGAGGGAAGCAAAGCCGCGAGGUGGAGCGAACCCCUAAAAGCAGUCUUAGUUCGGAUUGUAGGCUGCAACCCGCCUACAUGAAGUCGGAAUUGCUAGUAAUCGCAGAUCAGCAUGCUGCGGUGAAUACGUUCCCGGGCCUUGUACACACCGCCCGUCACGCCAUGGGAGUCGGUAACACCCGAAGCCUGUAGUCUAACCGCAAGGAGGACGCAGUCGAAGGUGGGAUUGAUGACUGGGGUGAAGUCGUAACAAGGUA
This 1470-nucleotide ribosomal RNA is filed under the name metagenome. Its description in RNAcentral is "bacterial SSU rRNA". It matches the Rfam family "Bacterial small subunit ribosomal RNA". The record is from RNAcentral.